This 370-nucleotide ribosomal RNA is filed under the name uncultured organism. Its description in RNAcentral is "partial 16S ribosomal RNA". It matches the Rfam family "Bacterial small subunit ribosomal RNA", at positions 527 to 896 of the family's 1533-position model. The record is from RNAcentral.
GUAGGGUGCAAGCGUUAAUCGGAAUUACUGGGCGUAAAGCGUGCGCAGGCGGUCCGCUAAGACAGAUGUGAAAUCCCCGGGGCUUAACCUGGGAACUGCAUUUGUGACUGGCGGGCUAGAGUAUGGCAGAGGGGGGUAGAAUUCCACGUGUAGCAGUGAAAUGCGUAGAGAUGUGGAGGAAUACCGAUGGCGAAGGCAGCCCCCUGGGCCAAUACUGACGCUCAUGCACGAAAGCGUGGGGAGCAAACAGGAUUAGAUACCCUGGUAGUCCACGCCCUAAACGAUGUCAACUAGUUGUCGGGUCUUCAUUGACUUGGUAACGUAGCUAACGCGUGAAGUUGACCGCCUGGGGAGUACGGUCGCAAGAUUA